Molecule: ribosomal RNA, 2921 nt
Filed under: Staphylococcus aureus
Lineage: Bacteria; Bacillati; Bacillota; Bacilli; Caryophanales; Staphylococcaceae
Description: bacterial LSU rRNA
Rfam family: Bacterial large subunit ribosomal RNA
Source: RNAcentral
UUAAGUUAUUAAGGGCGCACGGUGGAUGCCUUGGCACUAGAAGCCAAUGAAGGACGUUACUAACGACGAUAUGCUUUGGGGAGCUGUAAGUAAGCUUUGAUCCAGAGAUUUCCGAAUGGGGAAACCCAGCAUGAGUUAUGUCAUGUUAUCGAUAUGUGAAUACAUAGCAUAUCAGAAGGCACACCCGGAGAACUGAAACAUCUUAGUACCCGGAGGAAGAGAAAGAAAAUUCGAUUCCCUUAGUAGCGGCGAGCGAAACGGGAAGAGCCCAAACCAACAAGCUUGCUUGUUGGGGUUGUAGGACACUCUAUACGGAGUUACAAAGGACGACAUUAGACGAAUCAUCUGGAAAGAUGAAUCAAAGAAGGUAAUAAUCCUGUAGUCGAAAAUGUUGUCUCUCUUGAGUGGAUCCUGAGUACGACGGAGCACGUGAAAUUCCGUCGGAAUCUGGGAGGACCAUCUCCUAAGGCUAAAUACUCUCUAGUGACCGAUAGUGAACCAGUACCGUGAGGGAAAGGUGAAAAGCACCCCGGAAGGGGAGUGAAAUAGAACCUGAAACCGUGUGCUUACAAGUAGUCAGAGCCCGUUAAUGGGUGAUGGCGUGCCUUUUGUAGAAUGAACCGGCGAGUUACGAUUUGAUGCAAGGUUAAGCAGUAAAUGUGGAGCCGUAGCGAAAGCGAGUCUGAAUAGGGCGUUUAGUAUUUGGUCGUAGACCCGAAACCAGGUGAUCUACCCUUGGUCAGGUUGAAGUUCAGGUAACACUGAAUGGAGGACCGAACCGACUUACGUUGAAAAGUGAGCGGAUGAACUGAGGGUAGCGGAGAAAUUCCAAUCGAACCUGGAGAUAGCUGGUUCUCUCCGAAAUAGCUUUAGGGCUAGCCUCAAGUGAUGAUUAUUGGAGGUAGAGCACUGUUUGGACGAGGGGCCCCUCUCGGGUUACCGAAUUCAGACAAACUCCGAAUGCCAAUUAAUUUAACUUGGGAGUCAGAACAUGGGUGAUAAGGUCCGUGUUCGAAAGGGAAACAGCCCAGACCACCAGCUAAGGUCCCAAAAUAUAUGUUAAGUGGAAAAGGAUGUGGCGUUGCCCAGACAACUAGGAUGUUGGCUUAGAAGCAGCCAUCAUUUAAAGAGUGCGUAAUAGCUCACUAGUCGAGUGACACUGCGCCGAAAAUGUACCGGGGCUAAACAUAUUACCGAAGCUGUGGAUUGUCCUUUGGACAAUGGUAGGAGAGCGUUCUAAGGGCGUUGAAGCAUGAUCGUAAGGACAUGUGGAGCGCUUAGAAGUGAGAAUGCCGGUGUGAGUAGCGAAAGACGGGUGAGAAUCCCGUCCACCGAUUGACUAAGGUUUCCAGAGGAAGGCUCGUCCGCUCUGGGUUAGUCGGGUCCUAAGCUGAGGCCGACAGGCGUAGGCGAUGGAUAACAGGUUGAUAUUCCUGUACCACCUAUAAUCGUUUUAAUCGAUGGGGGGACGCAGUAGGAUAGGCGAAGCGUGCGAUUGGAUUGCACGUCUAAGCAGUAAGGCUGAGUAUUAGGCAAAUCCGGUACUCGUUAAGGCUGAGCUGUGAUGGGGAGAAGACAUUGUGUCUUCGAGUCGUUGAUUUCACACUGCCGAGAAAAGCCUCUAGAUAGAAAAUAGGUGCCCGUACCGCAAACCGACACAGGUAGUCAAGAUGAGAAUUCUAAGGUGAGCGAGCGAACUCUCGUUAAGGAACUCGGCAAAACGACCCCGUAACUUCGGGAGAAGGGGUGCUCUUUAGGGUUAACGCCCAGAAGAGCCGCAGUGAAUAGGCCCAAGCGACUGUUUAUCAAAAACACAGGUCUCUGCUAAACCGUAAGGUGAUGUAUAGGGGCUGACGCCUGCCCGGUGCUGGAAGGUUAAGAGGAGUGGUUAGCUUCUGCGAAGCUACGAAUCGAAGCCCCAGUAAACGGCGGCCGUAACUAUAACGGUCCUAAGGUAGCGAAAUUCCUUGUCGGGUAAGUUCCGACCCGCACGAAAGGCGUAACGAUUUGGGCACUGUCUCAACGAGAGACUCGGUGAAAUCAUAGUACCUGUGAAGAUGCAGGUUACCCGCGACAGGACGGAAAGACCCCGUGGAGCUUUACUGUAGCCUGAUAUUGAAAUUCGGCACAGCUUGUACAGGAUAGGUAGGAGCCUUUGAAACGUGAGCGCUAGCUUACGUGGAGGCGCUGGUGGGAUACUACCCUAGCUGUGUUGGCUUUCUAACCCGCACCACUUAUCGUGGUGGGAGACAGUGUCAGGCGGGCAGUUUGACUGGGGCGGUCGCCUCCUAAAAGGUAACGGAGGCGCUCAAAGGUUCCCUCAGAAUGGUUGGAAAUCAUUCAUAGAGUGUAAAGGCAUAAGGGAGCUUGACUGCGAGACCUACAAGUCGAGCAGGGUCGAAAGACGGACUUAGUGAUCCGGUGGUUCCGCAUGGAAGGGCCAUCGCUCAACGGAUAAAAGCUACCCCGGGGAUAACAGGCUUAUCUCCCCCAAGAGUUCACAUCGACGGGGAGGUUUGGCACCUCGAUGUCGGCUCAUCGCAUCCUGGGGCUGUAGUCGGUCCCAAGGGUUGGGCUGUUCGCCCAUUAAAGCGGUACGCGAGCUGGGUUCAGAACGUCGUGAGACAGUUCGGUCCCUAUCCGUCGUGGGCGUAGGAAAUUUGAGAGGAGCUGUCCUUAGUACGAGAGGACCGGGAUGGACAUACCUCUGGUGUACCAGUUGUCGUGCCAACGGCAUAGCUGGGUAGCUAUGUGUGGACGGGAUAAGUGCUGAAAGCAUCUAAGCAUGAAGCCCCCCUCAAGAUGAGAUUUCCCAACUUCGGUUAUAAGAUCCCUCAAAGAUGAUGAGGUUAAUAGGUUCGAGGUGGAAGCAUGGUGACAUGUGGAGCUGACGAAUACUAAUCGAUCGAAGACUUAAUCAA